RNAcentral lists this ribosomal RNA (497 nucleotides) under uncultured bacterium. Its description in RNAcentral is "partial 16S ribosomal RNA". It matches the Rfam family "Bacterial small subunit ribosomal RNA", at positions 28 to 507 of the family's 1533-position model. The record is from RNAcentral.
GACGAACGCUGGCGGCGUGCCUAAUACAUGCAAGUUGAGCGAUGAAGAUUGGUGCUUGCACCAAUUUGAAGUGCAGCGCACGGGUGAGUAACGCGUGGGGAAUCUGCCUUUGAGCGGGGGACAACAUUUGGACACGAGUGCUUAUACCGCAUAACAACUUUCUACAUAAGUUUUAAGUUUGAAAGAUGCCAUUGCAUCACUCAAAGAUGAUCCCGCGUUGUAUUAGCUAGUUGGUGAGGUAAAGGCUCACCAAGGCGAUGAUACAUAGCCGACCUGAGAGGGUGAUCGGCCACAUUGGGACUGAGACACGGCCCAAAAGGCUACGGGAGGCAGCAGUAGGGAAUCGUCGGCAAUGGACGAAAGUCUGACCGAGCAACGCCGCGGGAGUAAAGAAGGUUUUCGGAUCGUAAAACUCUGUUGUUGGAGAAGAACGUUGGUGAGAGUGGAAAGCUCAGCAAGUGACGGUAACUACCCAGAAAGCGACGGCUAACUACGUG